GGAGCAUUAGCUCAGGUGGUAGAGCACUUGACUUUUAAUCAAGUUGUCCGGGGUUCGAAUCCCCGAUGCUUCACUA
RNAcentral lists this transfer RNA (76 nucleotides) under Hespellia stercorisuis DSM 15480. RNAcentral's name for it is "tRNA_Lys_TTT". It matches the Rfam family "tRNA". Rfam says of the family: Transfer RNA (tRNA) molecules are approximately 80 nucleotides in length. Their secondary structure includes four short double-helical elements and three loops (D, anti-codon, and T loops). The record is from RNAcentral. Lineage: Bacteria; Bacillati; Bacillota; Clostridia; Lachnospirales; Lachnospiraceae.